GCACACAAGAGAGGUUAAAGAACAAAUAUGCAGUAGUUACACAACUUGUAAAACAUGCAAAAUUAUUAUGAAUUAAUGAUCGAUUAACAUUGAAAACAUAAAUAAAUAAAUGGACAAUAUAUAUAACGGUCGCAACAAACAUGACAAACAAAAUUAGAGCGAAUGGAUCUGCAGUAGACGUAAUAGAUACCCGUGAUUGAAUGAAUAAACAAUACACAGCAGAUGCAGUUAAGGGCACAGUUUACCUUCAUGUAAAAUGAGCUUGAUCUAAUUAGCAUUGUGUUUUCACUGAAAUGCUGUGGGUUUUGACACAUGUAAUUAUGACCAUCCAAUCGUUUUUAGGCUUGUUGUCUCUUUCUGCAAUCUUUUCUAGCACUGUAGAUAAGAGCUGGGGGUAGCACUUUUUAAUAUAUCAGUUUCAAAAUCAGCUUUAAUGUUUUUUUGGGGGUAAUUAUUGUCCUGACGAAACGGCACACUUGACCUGUGGGGAUAAAUGCAAUUUUCUAUCCAUGUUUCAACUGGGUUACCUGUUGAUUUGAAGUGAAUUUGAAGAAUUUAAGGUACUAUGAUGGUUGGCCUCAAUGCUUGGCCAGCAUGCGCUCACUGUUCAUGGUGAUGUAAAACCUACUCUGUACUGCAACAUUUUCUUAACAAUUUCCAGUUUGUAGCAGGGCAUUGUUUUGGUGGUCCUAGCUUUAUCCUGAACAUCACCAAUUUUCUCCCUUCAACUGAAAUUGACAUCUUUCACAUUGUCACAAAGCGGCUGCACAUCCAAAUGCCAACUUGCGCUUACAUUAAAUUGUUUGGACAGAUGUUGACUUUUGCAGUCACGAAGGGCUCCAACCUGUGUACAUUGAACAUUCUCCUGAGAGCUUCAUUGGCUUCCUUGGACUUUACCCUUUUUAUGAAUGUCAGUUUAUUUAAUGUGUGCUGUCAAACAAUUUGUUUUUAAAAAAUGUUAACAUUUGUACACUGGAUAAAUAGCUUGGUCUUGUCACAUUAGUCAUUCUACAGUCUUGUGUGACUUUAUGAUGAAAAAUUUGAAUUGUGACAAUAUAUCAUUAACAAUGAAUACGUAUACUUCUAAACCCAAGUUUAAAAAAAUGCAAUUGGAAAUAAUCAUUUUUGAAAGAAAUGCGCUCAUUUUGAACCAUUUUAUAGUCUUUUCGGUACUAUUUACUGUCACAGGUUGUUGUGCUUACUAAUGCCUAGACUUGUAGCCCAAUUCUGUAAUCGCUGUUCAUACAAUAUUUUACCACCAAAUAUUGGAUGAAUUGGCUCUUGUCCAAAUCUGCCAAUUGUAAGUCAAUUAUAAAUUCGUCACACCUACUCAAACGAAUGGGGG
Molecule: long non-coding RNA, 1345 nt
Organism: Syngnathus acus (greater pipefish)
Lineage: Eukaryota; Metazoa; Chordata; Actinopteri; Syngnathiformes; Syngnathidae
Exons: 2
Source: RefSeq, a predicted model, not a curated record